UUUUUACGGCGUACUAACCGGCUAACUUAUGUCCAUGUUUUUAUCAUCCUAUGAAAACAUGGUCAUACGGUGUCCGGACAGAAGGUGGAUCCGCAGAGUGGACUAGCUGGCAACAAAGACAGGAUCCACGCUGCAAGAUGCAGCAGUCACAGGAGCUACUGACUGGACUGAGUGAAACACACGCCCGGCUGGAUGAACACACAUGCAUGUUCCAAGAUGGUGAAUGGGAGAGAAACACGAGACUUCCAGGACAUGAGAAACAGAUGCUCUACACUACUGUGGAUGGACACCUUUCCCAGGAAGGACAAGAACAAGAGCAGAGGAUGAGCUGAACAAUAACUGAUCUGUAGUGCUGAGAAAAGGAGAAACCAGAAAGGCAGGAAGGAGUUGUGACUUAUUCAAAUCUAUCCUUUUGUAUUUACACAAAGGCCAGAGUUAGUUAGACAUUGUGAAGCCUAUUGUAUUUUAUUGACACAUAACUUGAUCAUCCACAGCGUGGCUCUCAUUUUCAUUCCAUCUGUCACACUACUGUAUGUCAUAUCUUAUUCAUGCAUACCAAUGUCCAUUUUAAUUAGUCAUUCUGGGUCAACGCAGACCUCUUCCUGCUCCGAGCAGCGGUGCGGCAGAUGUGUGAAUGAAAUUUGUGUGCUAUUAUUUGAGUGAAAAUAGGCCGUUAGAGCCAUUGUGACAAGACAACAGCCCCUGUAUGGUAAUAAAAUACAUACAUCAGGGUUAAAAAGAAAAGACAAUUGUAGAGAUGUAACAGCAUGAAACACUAUUGGUUGGUAUCUGUGUGCAAAAAAAUAAAUGGUUACGCCUCAAAAGGUUCAUCUUAAUUAAAUUCAACCCCAUUAUUUCUCCAAAAAAUCAAAUGAGGCUUUUCAGUGUAUUAGUGUUACAAUUAAUUAUCAUAAUUAGAAUUAUCAUAAUUGUGCCUGUGCAGGAAAACACAGUUAAGAAAAACAUCCUUUUUGCAUGUUAAUACACAUAUUUCCCUGCUGCAGCUGGUGACUAACAGUUCAACACUUUUCUGUAGCAUAUAAAACAAAUGAUAAAUCUGUGUAGGUGCAGCAGACCUCUGAUAAUCACACUCAGUUGCCAUUUUCUUUUCAUGUCACUAUUCAUCCUUAACUUAGUCAGUUUGAAUUCAUCAAAAAACUGAGAUGAGGGCGGCAAUUCAGAGACGUGGAGCAAGACUAAGAUGUGUACACUGUUUACAAUCACCCUCCAAGCUCUCUGUGUCAUUCCCAUUGAAAUGGAGGCUCGCUCACAACAAUCAGCUGUUGAAUCGCUAAAAAAUUGUUUACUGUAUGUUCAAGAGCGUGAAGCAGUGUUUGGCCUUGAGUUCAAAUCUAACAAAUAAGGGCAUUAUGAAAAGCCCAUUUAAGGCAAGGUCGGCGCUAUGGAGUCAGCACUGGGAGGGGACCAAAUUUGAUGGGAUGGGAUGUGUCUGCCCCCCUUAUAUAUAUUUUAAUUACUGCCUUGAUUAGAGGUGUUGUACAUAAUUGAUAUAAUGUUAUAAUUUUUGACAAUAUAGUCCUAUUUUACACCAGUGUAUACACAGUUUAUACAGUCAUACAUGUGUACAAUAAGCAGACAGAUAUGUUGUCUUGUCAUUAUUAUAUUAAAACCUGUCAAUCACUUCCACAUGUUUUGA
Molecule: long non-coding RNA, 1657 nt
Organism: Epinephelus fuscoguttatus (brown-marbled grouper)
Lineage: Eukaryota; Metazoa; Chordata; Actinopteri; Perciformes; Serranidae
Exons: 3
Source: RefSeq, a predicted model, not a curated record